This 286-nucleotide unclassified non-coding RNA is filed under the name fungal sp. Its description in RNAcentral is "partial internal transcribed spacer region". The stretch from base 1 to 46 matches the Rfam family "Eukaryotic small subunit ribosomal RNA", at positions 1786 to 1831 of the family's 1831-position model. Lineage: Eukaryota; Fungi. The record is from RNAcentral.
AAGUCGUAACAAGGUUUCCGUAGGUGAACCUGCGGAAGGAUCAUUAUUGAAAUUAGUUGCUAUUCGCCCGGGUUGACCCAGCUGGGCCCGUAGUACACUGUCUCUUGGUGUCAGGUCUCUUAACGUCGCCCGGAGCCGGGUAGCAACCUUAUUCAACCACUUGUGAAUUUGUAAUUUAUAUCUUACCAACUGACUGUUAACGAAGACUGAUUCAAUAACUUGUUGGUGUUUAAAGACACUAAUACAAUCAUUGAAACAACUUUUGGCAACGGAUCUCUUGGCUCUC